GGCCCAAGUUUGAAGUAGGGUAGAUUGAAGGAUCAUUAGACCCUACUAAACUACUCUACUUCGAGUUUGUGCCC
RNAcentral lists this microRNA precursor (74 nucleotides) under Haemonchus placei. RNAcentral's name for it is "mir-5928 microRNA precursor family". It matches the Rfam family "mir-5928 microRNA precursor family". Lineage: Eukaryota; Metazoa; Nematoda; Chromadorea; Rhabditida; Trichostrongylidae. The record is from Rfam by way of RNAcentral.